This 27-nucleotide small RNA is filed under the name Bombyx mori (domestic silkworm). RNAcentral's name for it is "ovarian small RNA-17902". The record is from RNAcentral. Lineage: Eukaryota; Metazoa; Arthropoda; Insecta; Lepidoptera; Bombycidae.
GUGGAGAAGAAAAUGAGCCUAUGUAUC